This 195-nucleotide ribosomal RNA is filed under the name uncultured bacterium. RNAcentral describes it as "partial 16S ribosomal RNA". It matches the Rfam family "Bacterial small subunit ribosomal RNA", at positions 338 to 525 of the family's 1533-position model. The record is from RNAcentral.
CCUACGGGAGGCAGCAGUGGGGAAUACUGCACAAUGGGCGCAAGCCUGAUGCAGCCAUGCCGCGUGUAUGAAGAAGGCCUUCGGGUUGUAAAGUACUUUCAGCGAGGAGGAAGGCGUUGUGGUUAAUAACCGCAACGAUUGACGUUACUCGCAGAAGAAGCACCGGCUAACUCCGUGCCAGCAGCCGCGGUAAUA